GACGAAUGCUGGCGGCGUGCUUAACACAUGCAAGUCGAACGGAAAGGCCCUGCUUGCCGGGUACUCGAGUGGCGAACGGGUGAGUAACACGUGGGUGAUCUGCCCUGCACUUCGGGAUAAGCCUGGGAAACUGGGUCUAAUACCGGAUAGGAGCCAUUUUUAGUGCGAUGGUUGGAAAGUUUUUUCGGUGUAGGAUGAGCUCGCGGCCUAUCAGCUUGUUGGUGGGGUAAUGGCCUACCAAGGCGGCGACGGGUAGCCGGCCUGAGAGGGUGGACGGCCACAAUGGGGCUGGGGUACGGCCCCGACUCCUACCGGGGGGAGGCGUGGGGAAUAUUGCACAAUGGGCGCAAGCCUGAUGCAGCGACGCCGCGUGGGGGAUGACGGCCUUCGGGUUGUAAACUCCUUUCGCUAGGGACGAAGCUUUUGUGACGGUACCUAGAUAAGAAGCACCGGCUAACUACGUG
Molecule: ribosomal RNA, 464 nt
Filed under: uncultured bacterium
Lineage: Bacteria
Description: partial 16S ribosomal RNA
Rfam family: Bacterial small subunit ribosomal RNA
Source: RNAcentral